GAUGAACGCUAGCGGGAGGCUUAACACAUGCAAGUCGAGGGGCAGCAUAGGGUAGCAAUACUCUGAUGGCGACCGGCAAACGGGUGAGUAACGCGUAUGCAACCUACCCUGUACAGGGGGAUAACCCGGAGAAAUUCGGACUAAUAUCCCGUAAUAAUAUCCGGAGGCAUCUUUGGAUAUUUAAAGUUCCGACGGUACGGGAUGGGCAUGCGUAACAUUAACUGGUUGGUAAGGUAACGGCUUACCAAGGCUAUGAUGUUUAGGGGUCCUGAGAGGGUGGUCCCCCACACUGGUACUGAGACACGGACCAGACUCCUACGGGAGCAGCAGUGAGGAAUAUUGGUCAAUGGGCGCAAGCCUGAACCAGCCAUCCCGCGUGCAGGAAGACGGCCCUAUGGGUUGUAAACUGCUUUUCCAGGGAGAGAAACUUACGCACGUGUUGCGUGACUGACGGUACCCUGGGAAUAAGCAUCGGCUAACUCCGUG
Molecule: ribosomal RNA, 486 nt
Filed under: uncultured bacterium
Lineage: Bacteria
Description: bacterial SSU rRNA
Rfam family: Bacterial small subunit ribosomal RNA
Source: RNAcentral